Molecule: ribosomal RNA, 482 nt
Filed under: uncultured bacterium
Lineage: Bacteria
Description: bacterial SSU rRNA
Rfam family: Bacterial small subunit ribosomal RNA
Source: RNAcentral
AAUCAACGCUGGCGGCGUGCCUCAGACAUGCAAGUCGAACGAUUAAAGCCCUCUUCGGAGAGUGCAUAGAGUGGCGCACGGGUGAGUAACACGUAAGUAAUCUACCUUCGAGUGGGGAAUAACGUCCGGAAACGGACGCUAAUACCGCAUAAUGCAGCGGCAUCGUAAGAUGACAGUUGUUAAAGAUUUAUCGCUUGAAGAGGAGCUUGCGGCAGAUUAGCUAGUUGGUAAGGUAAUGGCUUACCAAGGCUACGAUCUGUAACCGGUCUUAGAGGACGGUCGGUCACACUGACACUGAAUAACGGGUCAGACUCCUACGGGAGGCAGCAGUCGGGAAUUUUGGGCAAUGGGCGAAAGCCUGACCCAGCAACGCCGCGUGAAGGAUGAAGUAUUUCGGUAUGUAAACUUCGAAAGAAUAGGAAGAAUAAAUGACGGUACUAUUUAUAAGGUCCGGCUAACUACGUGCCAGCAGCCGCGGUAAU